GAUUCCCUAGUACUGCGAGUGAGCGGGAAAAGCUCAAAUUUAAAAUCCUUCGGGAGUUGUAAUCUAUAGAAGUGUUUUCGGUCGUUGCCUCGGACAAGUCUCUUGGAACAGAGCGUCAUAGAGGGUGAGAAUCCCGUCCUUGCCGAGCUCCCAACGUCUAUGUGAUACACUUUCAAAGAGUCGAGUUGUUUGGGAAUGCAGCUCAAAAUGGGUGGUAAACUCCAUCUAAAGCUAAAUAUUGGCGAGAGACCGAUAGCGAACAAGUACCGUGAGGGAAAGAUGAAAAGCACUUUGGAAAGAGAGUUAAACAGUACGUGAAAUUGUUGAAAGGGAAGCGCUUGGAGUCAGUCGCGUUGCAAGGACUCAGCCUCACGGUGUAUUUCUUUGCAACGGGUCAACAUCAGUUUCGACCGCGGAAAAAGGGCUUGAGGAAUGUGGCAACCUCGGUUGUGUUAUAGCCUCCUGUCGUACGCCGCGGUUGGGACUGAGGUCUGCUUACAGGAUGUUGACGAAAUGGCUCUAAGCGACCCGUCUUGAACCACGGACCA
Molecule: ribosomal RNA, 548 nt
Filed under: Dacrymyces puniceus
Lineage: Eukaryota; Fungi; Basidiomycota; Dacrymycetes; Dacrymycetales; Dacrymycetaceae
Description: eukaryotic LSU rRNA
Rfam family: Eukaryotic large subunit ribosomal RNA
Source: RNAcentral